Long non-coding RNA from Chinchilla lanigera (long-tailed chinchilla), 2003 nucleotides. The record is from Ensembl. Lineage: Eukaryota; Metazoa; Chordata; Mammalia; Rodentia; Chinchillidae.
UAAUCGAGGCUUCAGUCCGGGAGGCUGCAGCCCCCUGAUCCCAGAAUUAUGCCUCUCUUGUUUUUCUUGUUUCUCUUGCUUUUCUUUUCAUCCAUGGCACCUUGGGACCUGUCACCCCAGACAGAAACUGACUAUACACUGACACCAGGCCUGGAAAGUUACCCUGCCAUCCUCCUGGCUCCUAAGAGGUGUGGUGUCUGGGAGGAAGACAGAUGUGUAUCCAGCUCCGGCUGGAAAGGAAACAUGUCCAAGUUAUCAGGAGUUUGGGGUUAACAUCGUUUAUCAGCUGGGAGGUUUUGGCUAAAACUGCAACUAAAGUUGUCUUAAGAUUAGACAAAUUACCAUUGCACAUAAUAGAACAUCCAGUCUCUGCCGCUGAGUGAGCCAUUCAGACUCCAGGUUCUUUCCAUUUUCCAGCGUUGGCUUCAUUCUCAGACUGUGAGUAAGGAGGGGCAGUGUGCAAAGCAUCCAACUUUCUCAUGUUUAGAAGAAGAGGAAAAAGGAUUUCUUUCUGUGUCUCUUCACAGGGUGAAGAAACUUCUGCUAGAAGUCCAGCAGCCAACUUCUGUCAUCUCAUCGGCCAUACAUGGGUUAUGCGCCUCUUCUGGACCAGUCACUGUUAAGAAGUACAGAAUGGCCCUCAAACCCUGGAGCACACAGGAGAUCAGCCUUUCUCAGGGUCCAGUGCAGAUGGACAGAAAGGACACACCGCUGCCAUCCAUCAGAAGGAACAUGCAGAGACUGGCCCCAGGAGGACUGUGUGUCCCCAAGGAGGUCUGCUCUGGAUACUCACACGGGACUUCCAGAUGGCACCUUCUCCUAGGUACGACACCUCUUUCCAUUGGCAAUCUCUACCUCCUUCCCUCCCACACCCAGUGCACUUCUUCCAUGCUUGGACUUUAUGUUUGUUUAAAAACAAUAGCUAUUGGUUUUGAUUUCAUUUGGUGCACUGGGUGCUGCUGAUUUGUUAGUAAAAUCUGCUUCAAGAGGUCAACAGGAGACAUCUCAUUGGUCCACAUGAAGUCAAUGUGGUGAUAAAGCCCCUAUCAUUUGCUCAGUUCUGUUUUCAGGAACAUUGGAUUGCAUGCUGGUCCACGCUCUGCUAGACUGGGGGUGAGGCAGCUAUGACCACAGUGCACUCCAUAGUGAGUGCACCUUAUGCCUCUGAUGGAGGCCAUGCAUAGCUCUGAGGCCAGGCUCUACCCUUCCUUGGUGGAGUCAAGGGAAGGACAUGCUAAGUGUGGGAGGCAGUGUUUACUACAGUCCCCCAAAGAACACCUGCAGUGGAAAUGAGAGAUGGAGAACGACAUGAAAUGUACUUGGCCUCACACCUUAAAUCACAGUCCCAGCGACAUUAUGAUCUCAGACUCUGAUUGUAAGACUCAUGGAGGAUUCCAUAGGCCCCACACCCCCACUGUUACAACCAGAGCUGCUCCCAGCAAAGCACGUUCCAUCACUGCAUCUGACAGCCAGCACUUCCCACAAGGCACCCUCCAUCGCCCAUAAUCCUGACAUUGCUUUAAGUUUUCUCAGACCACCGUGACCAAAAUGGUAUGGCUAAACCAUUUAAAACAGUAUCUACUAAAUAAUUAUGAUGCACCAACAAUGUUUUCUAUAUAAGCUCAUUUAAUCAUCACAAUAACCUCAUAAAUAAAGUAGUGUUGUUCACUACAUUCUGCUUCUCUAAGCGAUGAUCAUGGGGUUUGGGUUACUGUCUUAAUCACUUUUCUCAUCCCUGGGAUGGAACACUCGAUACAUGAAACUAAAACGAGGACAGGUUUCUUUUGGCUCACGGCUCAGUCCAUAGUGGGCUGGCUCCCAGGCACAGCAGAGGGGCCUGGGAGAAGACGACAUCUCACAUCAUGGCCGCAGGAAGCAGAACAUGAAGGGAAGGGCCCAGAAGGGAGAUAAACCCACCUUUCGGUUCAAAGUCAGCAGCUGUAAAUACUGGUACCGUAUUUAAAGCCCAAAAGUACAGCGCAUGAUCUCAGGCUCAUGUGCCC